AUGGGGGGCUGCCUACCCGAGGUCCCUCCCUGAUGCCCCUGUGGGGCCCCAGGUGAUGAGGAUGGAUGUGGCCCCCACUUCUUGUGCCCCAAAACCUUGUGCUGCGGGCUGAGGUGCCCCUGGAAUGAGAUGGAAGUGGGUCUGAGCCUUGAGGGGAGGAUUUGGGGGUCCCAGGCAGCCCCUCUGACCUACAACAAGGCAGUGGUGGGGGGGUACAGAUGAGUUCCAGCUGCAGCUGCUGGACACAGCCAGGCAGGAUGGAUCCUGCCACGCUCCUUCCUCGUUGGCAUCCAUGGCUGCAUCCUGGUCUACUCGGUGACAUCCCUGCAGAGGUGACCGUGGAGAUCUUCAUGAAGCUCAUUGAGGAUCUCAACCGGGUGGACAAUUCCUAUGGCAGAUCCAGCAGCCUGAUGUGAUCCCUGGGAUGGGGCAGGACCCCCGGAUGCACCAGACCCUUCCUCAGGAUCUUCACCCAGACCACGGCGGUGGCUUUGGGGAAGCCACGUGGUCCCGCUGUGGUUCGGAACCCCUCCCUUUGCACGGGCUGUGCGGCUCACAGGGGGUUCUGUCCCAUCCAGGAGCCCCCCAGCUCAUCACUGCUGUCCCCCACACACACAAGGACAGGUCUGGGCCGUUCCUGCUGUGGCAGCCGGGGCUGAAUGCGGGUGUUGUUCCCAGCGUGGGGCCGCAGUCUGGCUGGGCUGGACCCGUGGGAGUCAGGGCUGAAACAAUUAAACGUUGUUUUGUCUGUAAA
Hirundo rustica (Barn swallow) is the source of this 754-nucleotide RNA transcript. It is a transcript of the gene named RHEB like 1, with no coding region annotated. NCBI's taxonomy places the organism in Eukaryota, Metazoa, Chordata, Aves, Passeriformes, Hirundinidae. The transcript is spliced from 3 exons. The record is from RefSeq and is a predicted model, not a curated record.